UAUCUCCAAUGGCAAGUUGAAUUAUCUUUGGGUUUUAUAUUUUUGGCACUUAUAAAGUUUUCAAUAUCAGAAUUAAAUUUGGCUUGUUCAACGGUUUGCUUUCCAGUUGGAAGGCAUUAAGGGAGGAGAUCAUGUAUAAAUCAGUAUGACAACAUUAUAUGUGAAGAAGUAUCAUGAAGAAUGCUUGCAAAAGUUAGGUUUAAAUAAUUCCCCAAUUUGUAGCUAAUUUUAAGGUUUCCAAGGCCAAGAUGCUAAAGAUAUCAAGUACUUUAUAGGAUACAAGUCCAACAUCCAUACUUAAAUGUAAGUAUGCUUGUAGCUUAGGACCAAAUGUAAAUACUUUUGGAUUGAUCGCUCAACCAGAGUUGACCAACCUUUGCAAACUUUCAUGCAAUUGAUAAUCUAUUGAAAUUAAGUAUCCUUUCUCUAAAUACUCGGAAUCCCAGAUUGUGUUUUUGAAAUUCAUUAAGUCAAAUGGACUUGAUAGUCAAAUGGACUUGAAAAUAGCAGUAAUAGCCACCAAAGUUUAAUGCUGAAAAAUUGGCGUUAAUGUUUCUUAUUCAGGAGAGAGAACCAAAACAAUUUCCUUUGGCAGAUUUUGCUUUAUUUUGUCAACUGGAGAACCUGAUGUCUUUGCCAAAGAAAUAUGCAAAUAUGUGUUUGAUUAAAUAAGAUGAAAACUUUAUUGCUGAGAUAUGGCUUUUCUUUCCAUUUCUAACUUCAUUCAUUUCAUGCUCACUGAACCAAGCCUAACUAAGACUCCAUGACUUUCAAUAGGACAGUAAUCCUCUGCUUCUAAAAGAAACUUCUAGUGCUGUGAGCUCCCUAUAAGUUCAAGGUAGUGUGGAUGAGUGAAUCAUCUAUCAUUCCCUGAUAUGUGUGUGGGGCUUUUGGAGGUCAGAUUUGGGCAUGGGUCUAUGCAGAAGGAGAUUCUUCAUGAUGAACAACAACAAAAAAUCUCAUCCUGUCAAAACUGCACGUGCCACUGCUUUAUCACCAUGAUUACACUGAGGUUUUAUUUCAGAGUAUUCUGGAUUUUAAAUUGAAAGUCAAAUAUAAUUUGCCACGAGAAGUAUGAAGUGAGUGACUAGAAAGCUGCUAGCAAGGCCCAGCAUGAUGAAUCAGUGUCUAUGAUAAUGAGCCUCUGCAGGAGGUGGGUCACUGUGCUGCAGUUGAGUGGUAGAAGUAGGCUGGAAGGCUCUGGGUUAAUGCAAAGGCCACAUAUUCUAGAUUGGUUCAACUGGUGUGACGGCCAAAACCAGGCAGACACCAUUCACUUCUUUCAUUGCUCAGGAAUAGCAGCACUAUUUUAACUCCUAUGAUUCUGUGCAAACUUUGGGCAAAUAUAAUGCAGUAUCUACUAGUGCAACUGAACAGAAGGUCUGCCUGGAGAAAUAGCACUGGAGGGAUAUGAAGUAAUGUUUACUGAGUGCUAGACUUGUGCCUGGAAUUGUGAUUUGUACUUUACAUAUAUUCUCUUGUUUAAUGCUCACAAAUUUUAUUAUUUACAUUUUGCAAAUCAAGAAACUGAAACUUUGAGAAACUGAGUGUCUCACAGAAGGUCAAACAUUUAGAGCAAUGUAAGGAAAAUUAACCUUCACUAAGCCUCUACUACAUGACUCCAUGUUGUCUUCUUUGCCUGGUGUGCACAUAUAUGAUCUCUCGGGUUAGUUUUUACCACAGCCCUUGGAAGUUGGUGUUACGAUCAUGUUUUAUAGAGGAAGAAACUGAGUCUCACAGAUGAUAAACUAACCCAAGCUGAAAGAAGCCAGUCAGUCCCAGAAUUAACUUUUUAAUCCAACUCUGCCUGAAAGCAAAGCCCAUGGUCCUAAUCUCAUCUCAUGUUCAGGAAGGUGACUUCAUAAGCUGAAGGAUGAACUAAUUUUCAGAGAAAGACCUCUGCUUUCGAGGGUGUCCUGGGAAUAUCUAUUUUCCCUCAGAAAAUAACUCACUGUUAGACUUUUUCUAGUCUUUUCUUUAGGAUUACCCCACUUGUAUCAGGCUUUGACAGUAUGCUUAACAUGAUCCUAAUACAGUAAUAAGACAUGUUACAAAAACUAACUCUAUUAUAUUUCCCUUCAGGUCACCAGGGAAGGCAGGCUGAGGCACUGUUUUUCUAAUUUUUGCACACUUCCUGACCACCUUCAAUUCUUUCUGGCUACUCACAAAUUUAGAUAGCUUGUAUGCACACCGUUCAUCUACUUGAGGGUCGAAAAGGAUUUGCAGCUACAUAUCUCAAUGUUGAAGAGAUGGAGUGUGUAGUUACCCUGGUUCCAUGUAAGUCAUUUGAAAGGCCUGGAUAUGAGUCGGUAAGGAUGAGUGCAUUCUGUUCGCUGUGUGCCUUGCAGGAGGCUAUCUGGGAACACUGCACAUAAACAUGAUUCUCUCUAAUUUUGGUAGCAUCUUAGUGAGAUUUGUUCUGGUAUGGAGAGCUACAGGUUUAUGCCUCAUUUGUGGUGCUGAUAAUUUAGCAUGGCUUUUUUUUCUAGGCAUCUUAAACAAAUGUAUCUUUGACAGGUACAAAGCUCCAAUGAUAAAAGUAAUGGAAAACCUGAACUUCAUCAUCGGUUGUCUGUUCACUCUGUUUUUUUUUUUUUUUAAACCAAACUAGGCUUCAGCAAUUAAAGACUGAGAACAUUCCCUUUCAGCCCCUUGAAGGGCAGCAUAGGAAGCUGAGAACCCUAUACACAUCAGGUUCGGAGAGCCCUGGGUUCAACCUGGACUUCUGCACUUCCUGCAUUGGUUGAAUUUGAAUAACAUAAUAACUCCUCUGAAAUGUUAUUUCUUCAUCUGUAAAGAUACAUCCUUACCCACUUCUCAAAGGUUAAGUAUUAACAUGGCAUAUCAAAUGUGGAAACAGCUAGCAAAAGACUUCAUGUAUAUUACAGGCUUGAUAAAAUCUUCUCUUGUUGGAUCAAAGCUGUGUGACCUUAGGCAAGUUACUUAACCUUUCUGAGUUUCAGAUUCCUCUUCUAUAAAACUGUGAAAAUAAUACCUACUUGAUAGGGUAGCUUUGAGGAUAAUAUGGUACAACAUAGGUAAAGCACCUGACAUUGUAGGCACUUCCUUGUGACAGCUUUUAUUGUUACGAAGCCUGUGGUUGUGAAAAUGAAAGGGCACAAAUAUUGCUAGGGUAACCAUGCAUUCUUGGUUGCUCCAGACAGAAUCUGUUUAUUCCUGGUUCUGGCAAAAUCAUUAGUAACAUACUCUUUACUCUCAAAAGUUUCCAAAUAAAUUCUGUGGUCACUCUAAAUAUAACUAAUAUGUAGGAAGGAGGCUGACCUGUUGAGAAGGAGAGAGAGAGAGCAUAAUAGUGAUUCCUUUCCCGUAAGUAAUGUUUAUCUAGUUCUUCCAACAGGGUAGUUUAGUUCUUACUAGUUAGCUACUGUUAAGUUGUUGCUUAUUAUUGUUAAGUGGAUAAGCAUCGGCAAUUCAGAAACCUCUAAAUAUACAGAAAACACCUGGGCAGAGGUUUCGAUGAAGUGGUUUGUUCUCUUUUUCUGGUCAUUUUCCACUUACUAGUAUCCCAUUUUCAACAGCACACAGCUUUCAUGCUGCCAUCUGGCUGCCCCCAAUCACUUUUUACUGUUAGCUCUAAGGGGUGGCCCAUUAAGUGUCCUGGCUGCCUGGACACCCUCCUGCACCUACUGGUGAUUUUAAAAAGGCUCAGUUUCUCUUCACUCAGUCCUUUGCUCCCACAAGCAUACCUCCUCUUAUUUUUGCUGUAGGAGUUUUCCUGCUAUGCCAGACAACCUUUGGAUAGGGAUAGCAACGGAGGCUAACUUAUUCCUCGUGACCUCAUUGAAUUCCGCUGGCUCGCUCUGGGCCCACACCAUAGGUACAGAAAUGCAUGGAUCUGUGCCUUGAGCUGGGAGUAAGGGCAGGGAGGAAUAUAUUCCUGAGUCCUGCGUCUUCCUUUGGCACUGUCUGCAGUCUGCUCUUCCCACUGCUCUGUUUUCUCCCAGUACACCCCAUCCAAUAUCUUUCUUGUCUAUGGAGGAGUAAAUGAGAAACAAAAUGGUGGUCUUUUGUGUCCCAGGGAACCACCAAACUUUGAGAAGGACCUGAAAGGCACAUCCUAGGAGAGCUGGAGUCAUCAAGAGGAGCAAAUAUUUUGUUUUUUUCUCCACAAAUCCCGACCCUCUCCCUUUCCUUUUCAGUUCACUUCAACUUCCUCUUCAGGAGAGAGGAGAGAUAUCAGCUGUCCUGGGGCCUGCUUUUAUUUCCAAUGAUUAUUGUCUCAUACCUGAUGACUGGGUAGGGACCGUUUCUGGCCGGGGUGACUUUGGCGUCUAGACCCUGGCAUACAUCUGAGCCAUCUGCAGCUGGUGAAAAAUAACCCACCACAUAAAACACCACAGCUAGUGAACAUUUCCCACCUUUUAUCCUCUGGCUUCGUAGGGCUGUGACAGACGGUGCCCCAGCAGGGACUAUGCAGCUCAACUGCCAAAGGGGAGCGCCAGCCAUCGUGAUGGUCCUGACUUCAGAUCUGGGGUUCGGACUCUGUUUGUGCUAACACUCUUCGCUCAACCUGAGGAACUAUGCACAGUUAGAACUUGGCAAUAAAAGUUGUUGACUAAAGGAUUGGAGAAUCUUUUCUAACAUUAUGAAUCUGAAAGGAGCAUGAGGGUUUGUCCUUCUAAGUUAACCUUUGUAUUUUAGGUAGAGGGAAUCUAAUGUGUAGAAAUUUAAGGUCAUACUCCUUGUCAGUAAGGAGUUAAGACCAGGGUCCAGAUCCCUGCUCAGUCAGUGCUAUUUCCAUUCUGGGUGCCUUUCUUACUUUUGUAUGUCAUCAUUUUUAUUGGUUAUCUACGUAAUAUGAAGAAGCAAAAGGUAUCUACUUUCUUACACUACACAGAAAGUUUCCAGAAAGUUCAGUUUUAUGUAAUACAUAUGUUAGCUAAUAUCAUUGAUCUUUGACUCAUUAUAUCAAAUAUUUCCUAGGCUUCUUUAGAUAUAUAUGCUGAUAUAUGCUGUUUAUUUCUGACCAGACUACCUUACUCCGGAGUGAGUACUAGAGACCACUUGGAGUGGUGAAAAAGGCUAGGGUUUUAGGGUCUAAGAUACCUAAAAUGGAAUUCCAAUUUCCUAUUGCCAGUUAUAUGAUCUGUAACUGUCUUUCAAAGAGAAAAAGGUUUUAAUUUUUAUGAAAUUUCAUUUAUCACUAUUUUAGUAGUCUUUUGUGUCUUGUCUAAGACAUCUUUGUGUAACCCAGGUUGAGGUUUAUUAUUAUUUUUUUCUUACAGAUAUCCAGUUGUUCCAGUGCAAUUUAUUGAAUAGACUUUUUCUUCAUUGAAUUACCUCAGUGCCUUUGUUGAAAAUAAAUUGGCCAUAAAUGUGUGAGUUUAUUUGUGGAUUCUCAACUUAUACCAAUGCCACACUGACAUGAGUACUACAGCUUUGUUUUAAGUAAUGAAGGCAAAUAAAGCUAACACUUCAAGCUUACUCUUGAGUUCAUGAUUGUUUUUGGCUAUUCUAGGUUAUUUUCUCUUUUCAUGUAAAGUAUAAAAUAACUUGUCAAUUUAUUCAACAAAGCC
This is a long non-coding RNA of Chlorocebus sabaeus (green monkey), 5537 nucleotides long. RefSeq lists it as uncharacterized. Lineage: Eukaryota; Metazoa; Chordata; Mammalia; Primates; Cercopithecidae. The record is from RefSeq and is a predicted model, not a curated record.